RNAcentral lists this transfer RNA (73 nucleotides) under Felis catus (domestic cat). It matches the Rfam family "tRNA". From Rfam's summary of the family: Transfer RNA (tRNA) molecules are approximately 80 nucleotides in length. Their secondary structure includes four short double-helical elements and three loops (D, anti-codon, and T loops). The record is from Rfam by way of RNAcentral. Lineage: Eukaryota; Metazoa; Chordata; Mammalia; Carnivora; Felidae.
ACCCGGCUGGCUCAGCCAGCAGAGCGUGUGACUCUCAAUCUCGGGGUUGUGGGUUUGAGCCCCACGUCGGCCG